This 4722-nucleotide long non-coding RNA is filed under the name Pan troglodytes (chimpanzee). Its description in RNAcentral is "lincRNA". The record is from RNAcentral. Lineage: Eukaryota; Metazoa; Chordata; Mammalia; Primates; Hominidae.
CUCAUACUUCCAUAAUAGUUCUGGGACAAUUCUAAACACAAGCCAUUUUUCUAAGGAGAGUCCACAUUAGAGAGGUCUUUGUUUUGUAUUCAAGAUGAUUAAAAUUAAUUAUGAACUGGGAAGUUAGUCCCUGGGGUGUCCUGGCUGGCCUUUGGAAAUCUUCACUACAUCUUUCUGGGUUGGAAUUCUCACCACAGCCUGAACGUGGGGCUGUAUCUGAGCUGUCUCUGAGUGCUGUCCAUUUGAUAUAUCGAGUACUGGGUGUUUACCAGGGCUCUUCAAGCCACUGGGAGAAACAGCUAAAGAGUAACCUACUGAUUUGAGAUGUGGAUUUGUGCCGCAUCCCUUUCUCCUUGUUUCCCACAGGAGUUUUAUCUCAAACUCCUAAGCCAUUUUUAAGGAGAUCACUGGAACAAACUCCAAACCUACCCUCUAAUAGUCAAGUUUACCUGAAUUUUCUCAGUUCUCUCGCGAGAAGACUAAUCACACAUUGUAGUACCAACUUGGACUCUUCAUGUGCUUUUCUUAACUGAUUAGAGUAACACCUCAGCUAAAGUGUAUAGAACAUACAUGGGGCUUCAUCAGGCUUCAGAAUCAGUUUCACUAGAUGUGCUAUGUAGGAGGCCACGGAAAAAUUACCGUAGUAGUAAAAGUUAUCAGUUCUGAUGUAAACAAUCAUUUUGUCCCAUAUUAUAAAUAAAUUGGCCUGAAAAUAUCCUUUCAUAUGUGAGGAAUAAGUAUAUGAUGCCUUUCUCCUUUAAAGUAUGAACUGCUAAAAGACAGGGAUAACGUGUAUUCUGUAUUCCAGCAGCCACAGUGUGUUUCUGGUCUUUGUACCAGGUGCUCAGGAAGUGUUUUCACUGGCUUGGGUUGACUACUUGCCAUCUGCUCUCUGAGCAUUCAUUUCUGAAUGAAAGGGGAGAAAGUGAAAGGAGAGGUGGGAAGAAAGAGGAAGCUGCAGAAAUAAGAGGAAACAGCUGGAGGAGGGAGGUGAAGUUGAGGAGGUAAGGUCAGUAAAACAAAAAGCUAGCAGAGGGCAGGGUCAGGCCCUUGGGGUAGAGGGCUAAUUAACUUAUGUCAGCUAGUUGAAUAGAGCCUUGUGUGCUUUGUUAGAGACCAAAGGUACUUCAAAGGAAAAAAAUCUAGAUUCUUCCCUGUGUACCUUAAUAAUUGUUCAUCAGGUCAAAAUCUAUCCUGUCCUCUAGGAAUUCUGGUCUUCCCUCAGGCCUAGCAGAGAGCUUUCUGCCACUACUCAGGCAACCAAGGGUGAAGUGCUUCAAGUAGUAUUUGUGGACAGCAGCAGGUAAGCUUGAUGUGUUAUUCACAGCUUAAAGAGUAGAUGCUGAGUACAGCUGUUGUCCAUGUGUAGAGCUUUUAAUAACCAGCUCAGCAGGCCCCUUCACCUGCUUUUAUGCCUGGACCAGAUGACUGAAUGUAGAACUUUAGGCACUUUUUUUUUUUUGAGACGGAGUCUCGGUUUGUCGCCCAGGCUGGAGUGCAGUGGUGCAAUCUCGGCUCACUGCAAGCUCUGUCUCCCGGGUUCACGCCAUUCUCUUGCCUCAGCCUCCCAAGUAGCUGGGACUACAGACUCCCACCACCAUGCCCGGCUAAUUUUUAUAUUUUUUAGUAGAGACAGGGUUUCACCGUGUUAGCCAGGAUGGUCUCAAUCUCCUGACCUGGUGAUCCACCUGUCUUGGCCUCCCAAAGUGCUGGGAUUACAGGUGUGAGCCACCAGAUCCGGCCCUUUAGGCACUUUCUACUUCUCAAGGUCAAGAAACAUCCUUUAAAAAGUUAAUUCCCUUUUCUGGAGCCUAAGCCAGAUCUUAUCUAGGCCUUGUGUUGCCAUCUGUUAGCAUUGAUUUCUGGAAUGGAGCAGCUUUCUCAAAGUUUGGUCUUGCUAGUCAUGAGGUCAUGUCAGUGUCUUAGGUCACUGCUGCUCACCUUCCUUACCCAGGGAGUAUACUGCAUAGGUUUCUGAACACCUGUUUUCAUUAUUCACUGUUCCUCUCACUGCCAAGAAUGGAGGGACCCUCAGUUGAAGAUCAAAUUGACUCUGAAGAAAAACUGGAGAUGUUUCUCUUGGAGUUUGGAUAGAGUAUUCACUUGAUAACAUGUUUUUCCCCUGCCUUGCUCUUCACAAGAACAUCUGGCCAGGUAUUAACAAUUAGUAAAUUUUUUUGCAUAUGAACAGUAUUUUUCUGGUGAUGUAGAUGGGUGCACAUGACACUAAACAGCAUUGUUUAGUGUUAUCCCUCUUAACUGGUGGGUUGUAUUUGGGGUGGAGGCUAUAGCCAAUGAGAAGACAUUCACCUCUGUACUCGAGAAACUUUGUGUAGGAAUUUAGUUUAUUUUUUUAUUUUUUUAAAUUUUUUAUUUUUUACUACUUUUACUGUUAGCACAAUGCUAUAAUUGAGCUAAUCUUUGUAGUUUGGUGCAGGACCACCAAGUUUGUGUGACCCAUUACCUACUUUUUCCAUGCUCAGCCAUUACCCUGUCCUGGGGCAUCUGAGGGCAGUAAGGAACAGGUGUCCAAAGGAGGAAUGUUGGUGCCUAUGAGUAUGUUUUCCAGUUGUAUUGAAUUUCUUACUUGGUGUAUUUUUGACUUGUCUUAGUUUCUUUCCUUGUGGUCUAUGCUAUUUUACUUGCGAUUUGUUGGAUAUUCUCCCUGUCAUUAAAGAGUUGUAAAAUGGAAGUUAGUUUCUCUAUGCAAAUGCUUUAAUGGAUGAAGCUGAUAGGUUUAGCAUUGAUUUUUGCUGGUGUCUUUCAACAAGCAUGAAGGUGAUAAAUGUGUUUCCAUGGCUUUAGACUCAUUUUUGAAGUCUUGGAUUGUGUGAACAUUCUUAGAAACAAUAAAAUGUUUUAAUUAAAAGCCCUCGACUACCAGUUGAAUUCAGUGUCUACUAGGAAAAUGGGUAGAUUUAUUACAUUGUCCCUUUGCUCUCUAUGACUUUGUUCCAGUUGUCAAGGAACUUAAAUGGGUAUUCAGGAAAAAGAAUUCUUGUUUCCCUUUCCUCACCUUGCCAGUUAAAUAACUCCUGGUGACACUUCAGGUGGUAGAAUUGAAACACAAACCUGACUUCUGACCACAUGGGUCAAAGGCAAAAGGCAAAUGGCUUCAAAGCCCUUAGUGUGCUUAUCCAGUUCAGGCAGUGAGGAGAUAACCUCUGCUUUCCUCCCUGAGGAGUUUGGAGUAUUUAAGGGGGGAUGGGGGGGGUGUCACUUUGAAAAUAUGUUGCUUUUUCUCCUGAUUGUAUUGAGGCUGAUAUGGAAGGGUUAUUUCUUUCUGGCCAAUACUUUUUGGUAUUUCUAAAUAUUGCAAUCUUGAUUUUUACUAUUAAAUUUGUUAAUUGUCAGUUCUGGCUUUUUUGCAUAAAGAGUUGGUCCAUUAACUUGCCAAUUUGAAGCUUCUAACUAGAUAUUCCCUACUGAAAGUUUUGGAUUUGUUUUUAGUUUGUGGAGCAGUCUUAGCUGGGGACAGGUAAUUGACAACGGCAGAGAUACUUUUCCUAGGAUUCUAAGUCUGUAAUCCACAUCCUCAAUGUAUUCACAGGACUUUAAAAUUCUCUCCAAAUGAGGAAGGAAAUAUCCUGUUGCUUUCUAAUGUUUACUAAAAGUUGUGUUUAGAACAACAGAUUUUAAUAGGCAUCUUCCUUUGUUAUGUGUCAUAGCCCUUUGCCCGUUUACCUUAGGGCUCUUUGAAGGAGAAAUGGAUGGGAGAAAACCUGUCACUUGGCGAAAGUAAAAGGGAUAAUUAACUGGCUCAGAGCUUAUGUGCAGAGUUCCAAGCCCCAAAGUUAAUCUAGAACUACUCGAUAACACCAAUAAAAAUAUUUAUUUCACAUCUGUUAUAUAUCUGGAAAAUGUUCUAAGCAUCUUACAUAUAUUUUUCAUUAAAUCCACAGGUGACCAUUGUGAGGUAGAUAUUUUGUUCUAAUUUUCCAGAUGAGGAAGCUGAGACCCUAAAAGGCUGACCGGUUCCCUGAUGUGUUACCUGCUUCUGCUACUGAUCCAAACUGCAGAACUUCUCAUUCAUCCCCAAGGCCUCCAGGCAGUAUCCAAUGGGGAAUCAGCUCUAAAAGGAACCAGACCAACGUUUUCCAGCCCCUUCAUUCUGGUGACUGAGGGGAGGAAAGAAUGGGAGGGGGUAUUCUUGUCUAGUGGAUGGAAAGGAAACACACUGUCAAAUUACUGUAUCUCCUUGGUUUUCUAUUACAGUAGAAUUCUCCAGCCAUAUUUUUAUUGUCUAUGGGGGAAGUUGGAGAUGGUGACCUUGAUUAGAAGUGUCUGGAGGGGGAUAAAUGGAGGGGAUAAGAUUCAGUUGGUUUUGGAAAAUGUUAAAGUCUUAAAAUAAUGCGUCCAUCUGAAGAAUUUUUUCUAAAACCAGAGUUUAUAAAAAUAUCACUGAUACAGCCUGCCCCCUCAUUUCCCUGCCACAGGAGAUGUCUUGGACUAGAGACACUUGUUUAAUAAUAGCUUGUCUCUGAUAUUCCCAGUAGCUUCCCUCUGUGUGAGGAAAGGAUAGAAAUGUUCAGGACAUCAUCAUACAGGCUCCUCAUCUACAAAGUUCCAGUAGCAGUGACGCCUACACGGAAGACUUGGAACUGCAAACAGGCUGGGGUCACCUCAGUGACAUCUGACGCUGUCCAACCAGAAGUUCGAUUUUUGUUCUGGGGGUGAAGGAGGAAACAGACUGUACUAAAGGACUAAAAUAAUUUCUUGUCU